AUUAGUAUUAGUUAUGUUCUUGAAAAUUAAAAAAAUUGGCGGUAUUUUAGACUAUUCAGAGGAACUUGUCCUGUAAUUGAUAAUCCACGAUUUAAUAUACUUUUUUUUUUAGUUUAUAUAUCGUCGUUAUUGAAAAUUUUUAAAAAGUUAAUAAUUUUCAUGGUUUUUUAUAAAAUAGUAAAUCAGAUCAAGAUGUAGUUUAUAAAAAAGAAGAGAUGAGUUACAUUAAUGUAUUUUUGGAUAAUUAUUGGUUGAAUAAUUUGAAAUUGGAUUUGAAAGUAAUUUAAAUAAAUUUAUUUAAAUGAUUUAGCUCUAAAAUAUGUACACAUCGCCCG
RNAcentral lists this ribosomal RNA (335 nucleotides) under Neolema eremita. RNAcentral's name for it is "partial 12S rRNA". The record is from RNAcentral. Lineage: Eukaryota; Metazoa; Arthropoda; Insecta; Coleoptera; Chrysomelidae.